GGGUGAAAACUAAAUGAAGUGUU
This 23-nucleotide non-coding RNA is filed under the name Arabidopsis thaliana (thale cress). Lineage: Eukaryota; Viridiplantae; Streptophyta; Magnoliopsida; Brassicales; Brassicaceae. The record is from RNAcentral.